GGCGGACGGGUGAGGUAACGCGUGGGUAACCUGCCUCAUACAGGGGGAUAACAGUUAGAAAUGACUGCUAAUACCGCAUAAGACCACAGCACCGCAUGGUGCAGGGGUAAAAACUCCGGUGGUAUGAGAUGGACCCGCGUCUGAUUAGGUAGUUGGUGGGGUAACGGCCUACCAAGCCGACGAUCAGUAGCCGACCUGAGAGGGUGACCGGCCACAUUGGGACUGAGACACGGCCCAAACUCCUACGGGAGGCAGCAGUGGGGAAUAUUGCACAAUGGGGGAAACCCUGAUGCAGCGACGCCGCGUGAGCGAUGAAGUAUUUCGGUAUGUAAAGCUCUAUCAGCAGGGAAGAAAAUGACGGUACCUGACUAAGAAGCACCGGCUAAAUACGUGCCAGCAGCCGCGGUAAUACGUAUGGUGCAAGCGUUAUCCGGAUUUACUGGGUGUAAAGGGAGCGUAGACGGAGUGGCAAGUCUGAUGUGAAAACCCGGGGCUCAACCCCGGGACUGCAUUGGAAACUGUCAAUCUGGAGUACCGGAGAGGUAAGCGGAAUUCCUAGUGUAGCGGUGAAAUGCGUAGAUAUUAGGAGGA
RNAcentral lists this ribosomal RNA (591 nucleotides) under uncultured bacterium. RNAcentral's name for it is "bacterial SSU rRNA". It matches the Rfam family "Bacterial small subunit ribosomal RNA", at positions 97 to 705 of the family's 1533-position model. The record is from RNAcentral.